AGAAUCAACGCUGGCGGCGUGCCUAACACAUGCAAGUCGAACGAGAAAGUGGAGCAAUCCAUGAGUAAAGUGGCGACCGGGUGAGUAACACGUGACUAACCUACCCUAGAGUGGGGGAAUAACUUCGGGAAACCGAGGCUAAUACCGCAUAACAUCGCAGAGGGAAGAUCUUUGCGAUCAAAGGAGCAAUUCGCUCAAGGAGGGGGUCGCGGCUGAUUAGUUAGUUGGUAGGGUAACGGCCUACCAAGACAAAGAUCAGUAUCCGGCCUGAGAGGGCGCACGGACACACUGGAACUGAAACACGGUCCAGACUCCUACGGGAGGCAGCAGUGGGGAAUUUUGCGCAAUGGACGAAAGUCUGAUGCAGCAACGCCGCGUGGGGGAUGAAGCUUCUCGGAGUGUAAACCCCUUUCGACCCGGAAGAAUGCCCGCAAGGGUAUGACGGUACGGGUAUAAGAAGCCCCGGCUAACUACGCGCCAGCAGCCGCGGUAA
Molecule: ribosomal RNA, 493 nt
Filed under: uncultured bacterium
Lineage: Bacteria
Description: SSU rRNA
Rfam family: Bacterial small subunit ribosomal RNA
Source: RNAcentral